AUUUUCUUGGCGCCUCCGAGAAAUGAAUGGCUCAGUUUCUCCUGGCUGACUGUGUUUGCCUGCUUCUAUGUAUGACAACCAUGUUCAUGCAGUACCAGAAGAGGCCAGAAGAGGGCAACGGAUCCCCUGGAGCUGGAGUUACAGACACCUGGGAGCGGCUAUGCAGGUGCCCGGAAUGAAAUCCAAGUCCUCUGCAAGAGCAGCCGAUGUUCUUAACCACAGAGCCACCUCUCCCAUCCCAAAUAUUUCCAUUUUUUCAGUGAUUUGACAAAUAACAGUUGGUUCAACACAGCGGGAGCAAUAUCUCUAGUGAUUAAAUUGAGUGAUCCCCGAGCAAUGGGGGUGCUCCCUAAUGCAUGCUACAAGGCCAGAAUUCUGCUAGAAACCAAACAGAUAGAAGAAAGGAAAACCAUCAAGCCAUGGAAAUAAAAUCCAGCCAUGUACAGUUAUCUACCAUGAGCAACUCGGAUUCAUCCCAAGAGUACAAGGAUGGCUCAGUAUCUGAAGAUGAAUCCAGGGAAACCCUUUAAACAGGAAAGUAAAGAAUCUAGAACACCCACAAGAAGUUCCUGAAACUGACCAGAUUGUCUAGGCCCCUCCCUGUCAGAGUAAGAAAUAAAACUGGAGGGUUCCUCGGUAAGGGAAGGAAGGUAAGCCGCAAAGAAGAUGCUCAGACAAGACAAGCCACAAAGAAGACUCUGAGACCAGACCAGCUGCCUAGAAGACGCAGAAACCAGCCACGCUGCCUGGGAGAAGUUUAGAGCAACUUUGGCACCUGGACAGGACACUCUCCAACCUGCUGAGCUGCCUGCAGGCUGUGCAAUGUGCUCCAGGUCCCCAGCUUUGUGAGCUGUCACCUGUACUGGGAUAGGCUUUGGUGAUGCAGCUGUCUUUGAGUCAUUUUUACUCCUAUAAGUGACCCCAGUAAAACUCGUUGCUUCACA
Mus musculus (house mouse) is the source of this 944-nucleotide long non-coding RNA. RefSeq annotates it as predicted gene, 40574. The record is from RefSeq and is a predicted model, not a curated record. Lineage: Eukaryota; Metazoa; Chordata; Mammalia; Rodentia; Muridae. The transcript has 4 exons.